RNAcentral lists this ribosomal RNA (468 nucleotides) under uncultured bacterium. RNAcentral describes it as "partial 16S ribosomal RNA". It matches the Rfam family "Bacterial small subunit ribosomal RNA", at positions 28 to 507 of the family's 1533-position model. The record is from RNAcentral.
GAUGAACGCUGGCGGCGUGCUUAACACAUGCAAGUCGAACGGAAAGGCCGAAGUUUGCUUCGGUUCUCGAGUGGCGAACGGGUGAGAAACACGUGGGUGAUCUGCCCUGUACGGCGGGAUAAGCGUGGGAAACUGGGUCUAAUACCGGCUAUGACGAUCUGUUGGAGGGGGUUGUGGAAAGCUUUUGCGGUAUGGGAUGAGCUCGCGGGCUAUCAGCUUGGUGGUGGGGUAAUGGCCUACCAAGGCGUCGACGGGUAGCCGGCAUGAGAGGGUGUACGGACACACUAGACCUCAGAGACAGGCCAGAGUCCGACAGGAGGCAGCAGUGGCGAAUAUUGGACAAUGGGAGCAAGCCUGAUGCAGCGAGGCCGCGUGGGGGAUGAGGGCCUUAGGGUGGUAAGCUCCUUUCGCAAUCGACGAAGCCUUUUGGUGACGGUAGGUUGAGAAGAAGCACCGGCUAACUACGUG